Molecule: ribosomal RNA, 254 nt
Filed under: uncultured bacterium
Lineage: Bacteria
Description: partial 16S ribosomal RNA
Rfam family: Bacterial small subunit ribosomal RNA
Source: RNAcentral
UACGUAGGGCGCAAGCGUUAUCCGGAAUUAUUGGGCGUAAAGAGCUCGUAGGCGGUUUGUCGCGUCUGCCGUGAAAGUCCGGGGCUCAACUCCGGAUCUGCGGUGGGUACGGGCAGACUAGAGUGAUGUAGGGGAGACUGGAAUUCCUGGUGUAGCGGUGAAAUGCGCAGAUAUCAGGAGGAACACCGAUGGCGAAGGCGGUCUCUGGACGGUGACUGGACGCUGAGGCGACGAAGACGUGGGGAGCAAACGGG